Non-coding RNA from Equus caballus (horse), 544 nucleotides. The record is from RefSeq and is a predicted model, not a curated record. Lineage: Eukaryota; Metazoa; Chordata; Mammalia; Perissodactyla; Equidae.
GAAUGUUACGUAAUUAGUAAGUGGUAGACUCAGAUCCAGUCAGUCUGGCACAAGAAUAUGUGCAGUUGAUCUCUGGGUUCUCCUCUAUAUCUAUUUUCCUUAUGAUUUUUUUCCUUUCUUGUCUUUUCUUGUAGUUCUCUCUAAGGAGUAAAGAAACUUUCCCCAGGAGCUUCCCAGCAGACAACUCUUCACAUCUCAUUGGCACCUGCCCAUUCCUGAACCAACUAGAUUACUCUUAGCCCAAACAGACCACCCCUGGAGUUGAAAGUAGGGUCAGCUUCCCCCAGGGAUAUUGCUGUGUGGGAAAGUGUAGACACAUGAACCAAAUCUGGGUUCUCUUUGGAAGGAAAAGAAGGUGGGGUGGGGUUGAUGCUGAGAAGAUAACCAACAAUCUCCAGUAAAGUCCAACUUGGGUUGGCAGGGAUCAGUUCCUUUCAUCUAAUAGCUCCACAAUGCUCUUGAACCCUGAAGUUCCCUACUGGAUUCUCAGCAUUUGCCUAGUGAAAAAGAGAAGAGAAAAAAAGCCUGGAAGAUUGCAUGAGAG